CGGGAAUUUUGGGCAAUGGGCGAAAGCCUGACCCAGCAACGCCGCGUGAGGGAUGAAGUAUUUCAGUAUGUAAACCUCGAAAGAAUGGGAAGAAUAAAUGACGGUACCAUUUAUAAGCUCCGGCUAACUACGUGCCAGCAGCCGCGGUAAUACGUAGGGAGCAAGCGUUGUUCGGAUUUACUGGGCGUAAAGGGCGCGUAGGCGGCGCGGUAAGUCACUUGUGAAAUCUCUGAGCUUAACUCAGAACGGCCAAGUGAUACUGCUGUGCUAGAGUGCGGAAGAGGCAACCGGAAUUCUUGGUGUAGCGGUGAAAUGCGUAGAUAUCAAGAGGAACACCUGAGGCGAAGGCGGGUUGCUGGGCCGACACUGACGCUGAUGCGCGAAAGCCAGGGGAGCAAACG
Molecule: ribosomal RNA, 401 nt
Filed under: uncultured bacterium
Lineage: Bacteria
Description: bacterial SSU rRNA
Rfam family: Bacterial small subunit ribosomal RNA
Source: RNAcentral